CGUUCUUUGAGUCAAAUUAGUUCACUAUCUAUGUGUUUAAUAAAUAAUUUGAAAUUUUCAUUUCAAAAGAGUAUGACUACGAUAGGUUUUUUUUUUAAUCUCAUAGUGCUACUACCUUAAAGUAGUGAUAUUAUGAUCUAAUAUUCUCAAAUCAGUACUAGAAGUGUUUUGAAGCCAUCUUAGGUUAAAUCAACUGUGGGUGACUUCAGCUGGUUUGACUUGCUUCCAAUUGGACUGCCUCAUAAAAUACAGUGGGUUUUUUUUGUUUGUUUAAAUAGAAAUGAGGUAUUGCUGUUUUGUCCAGGUUGGUCUCAAACCCUGGGCCUCAAGUGAUCCUCGAGCCUCAGCCCCCCAAAGUGCUGGAAUUAUAGAAGUGAGCCAGUGCACUUAGCCAAAAUAUAGUUCUUGAUUUUUCAACCCUGUGGGGAUAAGGAUAACAGAGAUAACCAGCUGUUGUGUGUUAAGAAUGAAAAAGGGGGCCGGGCGCUGUAGCUCAGGCCUAUAAUCCCAGCACUUUGGGAGGCUGAGGCGGGUGGAUCACGAGGUCAAGAGAUUGAGACCAUCCUGGUCAACAUGGUGAAACCCCGUCUCUACUAAAAAUACAAAAA
Molecule: long non-coding RNA, 608 nt
Organism: Sapajus apella (tufted capuchin)
Lineage: Eukaryota; Metazoa; Chordata; Mammalia; Primates; Cebidae
Exons: 2
Source: RefSeq, a predicted model, not a curated record